This 254-nucleotide ribosomal RNA is filed under the name uncultured bacterium. RNAcentral describes it as "partial 16S ribosomal RNA". It matches the Rfam family "Bacterial small subunit ribosomal RNA", at positions 524 to 776 of the family's 1533-position model. The record is from RNAcentral.
UACGUAGGGCGCAAGCGUUAUCCGGAAUUAUUGGGCGUAAAGAGCUCGUAGGCGGUCUGUCGCGUCUGCUGUGAAAACUCAGGGCUUAACCCUGAGCUUGCAGUGGGUACGGGCAGACUAGAGUGCGGUAGGGGAGACUGGAAUUCCUGGUGUAGCGGUGAAAUGCGCAGAUAUCAGGAGGAACACCGGUGGCGAAGGCGGUUCUCUGGGCCUGUACUGACGCUGGAGGAACGAAAGCGUGGGGAGCGAACAGG